This 496-nucleotide ribosomal RNA is filed under the name uncultured bacterium. RNAcentral describes it as "partial 16S ribosomal RNA". It matches the Rfam family "Bacterial small subunit ribosomal RNA", at positions 29 to 507 of the family's 1533-position model. The record is from RNAcentral.
AUGCACGCUGGCGGCGUGCCUAAUACAUGCCAGUCGAGCGAACAGAUAAGGAGCUUGCUCCUUUGACGUUAGCGGCGGACGGGUGAGUAACACGUGGGUAACCUACCUAUAAGACUGGGAUAACUUCGGGAAACCGGAGCUAAUACCGGAUAACAUUUGGAACCGCAUGGUUCUAAAGUGAAAGAUGGUUUUGCUAUCACUUAUAGAUGGACCCGCGCCGUAUUAGCUAGUUGGUAAGGUAACGGCUUACCAAGGCAACGAUACGUAGCCGACCUGAGAGGGUGAUCGGCCACACUGGAACUGAGACACGGUCCAGACUCCUACGGGAGGCAGCAGUAGGGAAUCUUCCGCAAUGGGCGAAAGCCUGACGGAGCAACGCCGCGUGAGUGAUGAAGGGUUUCGGCUCGUAAAACUCUGUUAUUAGGGAAGAACAAAUGUGUAAGUAACUGUGCACGUCUUGACGGUACCUAAUCAGAAAGCCACGGCUAACUACGUG